RNAcentral lists this ribosomal RNA (468 nucleotides) under uncultured bacterium. RNAcentral describes it as "partial 16S ribosomal RNA". It matches the Rfam family "Bacterial small subunit ribosomal RNA", at positions 28 to 507 of the family's 1533-position model. The record is from RNAcentral.
GACGAACGCUGGCGGCGUGCUUAACACAUGCAAGUCGAACGGAAAGGCCCUGCUUUUGUGGGGUGCUCGAGUGGCGAACGGGUGAGUAACACGUGAGUAACCUGCCCUUGACUUUGGGAUAACUUCAGGAAACUGGGGCUAAUACCGGAUAGGAGCUCCUGCUGCAUGGUGGGGGUUGGAAAGUUUCGGCGGUUGGGGAUGGACUCGCGGCUUAUCAGCUUGUUGGUGGGGUAGUGGCUUACCAAGGCUUUGACGGGUAGCCGGCCUGAGAGGGUGACCGGGCACAUUGGGACUGAGAUACGGCCCAGACUCCUACGGGAGGCAGCAGUGGGGAAUAUUGCACAAUGGGCGGAAGCCUGAUGCAGCAACGCCGCGUGCGGGAUGACGGCCUUCGUGUUGUAAACCGCUUUCGCCUGUGACGAAGCGUGAGUGACGGUAAUGGGUAAAGAAGCACCGGCUAACUACGUG